AGCGGCUGCACCAGUUUGCAUUCCCACCAACAGCGCAAGAGGGUUCCCGUGUCUCCGCAUCCUCGCCAGCAUCUAGCGUCUCCUGAUUUGUUCAUUUCACAGCCUCAGCUCCACUUGGGCACCUGUUCAGCUGGAGGGCCGGUCUCAAUGCUCUCUGUCCUCAGGGAUAGGUUUCCUUUGUUUCCAUUUGAAACGCCGCGUCUCUUAGUGGACGGAUAAAAGCCCUGUGCGUGGAAUGACUAACUUGUUUUGGCCCUGGAAGUCCUGUGUCCCUGCAAAACUGUCAGUCCCAGGUGGGGCCGGCCACCCCGUGGGACAGAGCAUAAUCGAUGUUGGCCGCACGCAGGAAUUUCUCGCAGCACCUGAUGAAUGGGGGAUGCGGGCCAAGCUGCUGUCUUCCAGAAUUUGGCAGUGGGAGGGGUCAAAGGCGGACCUCAAUCCAAAAGAAGACACCUUGAGGGGCGCCUGGGUGGCUCAGUCAGCUGAGCGUCCGACUUCGGCUCAGGUCAUGAUCUCGCACUUCGUGAGUUCGAGCCCCGCAUCGGGCUCCGGGCUGACGGCUCGGAGCCUGGAGCCUGCUUUGGAGUCUGUGUCUCUCUCGCUCUCUGCCCCUCCCCCGCUCAUGCUCUGUCUCUCUCUGUCGCUCAAAAACGAAUAAACGUUAAAAAAAAAUUUGUUUUUUCCAAAAGAGGACACCUUGGAAUGGCCACCUGCCUCUGUCCAGCAGCCCCUUGUCCAGGAGCCCUCAGGAGCGGGGCACUGGAGCCCUGGCCCCGGGACCCCCGAGGCAAGGCUGCAGCAAGCCCUUCUGGAGAGCGACUCCCGGACCUUUGCCUCUAAUUGGCCCCCAUUUCUGCACACAGCCAUUUCCUCUGCCCGCGGCACAACUCAUAAAAAGCCAGGCUUUCUUCCAUACCUUUGAAAAGUUCAAAGGAGCCCAUAUCCUAGGGAGAUCUGGCAGCAAAGGCACCUGGAUCUGAGGGGACUGAGGGCUCUGGGCCGCCCCCCCCCCCCCCCCCCGCCUUUUACUGCUUGUCAGUGUCAGUGUCCCAGGCUCCAGGGGAAGGGAGGCCCAAACCCACCACGGCCAGCUCUGCUCUGUUUUAUGGGAUCAGGCUGUGCUCUUUAACCCUGCCCUGCAUUUUGCAGCGGGAGCCCUCAUGGCCGCGGAGCAGGUCAGGGAACAGAUGUCAAGCCCAUCCUAGAGCAAGCGCGUGAUAAAGCCAGACUCACUGCUGGUGAGUCGGUCAGCCCUGCUCCGUUCAGAGGCCGCCUCCACGGCUUUGCUCCCAUGAUGCUUCUGCUCUUUUGUGGGGACCCUUUGUUGCAGUUGGGGGGUGGAGCACGGGCGAGCUUAUCUGAGCCCAAGGUGCGGUUGUGUUCAGAUUAGCAUAGGGUUUGCAGGCUCUCAGGCAUAGCUUUUUGGCAUUAACUGAACUUGGUUCUUCCCCAGUAUCCAAAUUGGUGAUUUUUAUGCGGCACCCUCUUAGACACUUACCCUCAACUUGAGACCAACGGUUUCGAGGGGAAAAUGAAACGGCUUUGUGCUCUCUAUCCCGACUGGCGUCCCUUACGAGGUGUUCAAGAAAUGCUUGCUAAUUGCACGAAUCAAGGCGGCUUAUGGAACAGGAAACUGGGAUCUUGAAGGGGAGCCUGGUUUUGUUACUUACAGGUGUCUAGACAGAGGAUGGGGCUAGAUCGGAAGGGGAAAAUUUUUAUCUACUUUCCUCCCCGCAAUGAUCUUCGCUCUUUGACUACCCAUCAAACCCACUGGUGGAGGAAUAUGGUGCACUUAUUCAGUUGCACUCCCGUGUACGGCAGAAGGCUCGCCAGAACCUUCUGCGUGCCCUGCACCCUACCUUUUGUCCCUCAAGAUGCCAAUCACCUCAGGUUGGCUCAGUUUGCCGGAGAUCCAGAACCCAGGCCCUCUGGGUUUUCCUUUCCUCCGGUGUUUGACUGAACCCCUCCUGGAGCCCCAGUGGGCAAGUGCGUGGCAUCUGUGUCCACAUAAUUCGUGGCACCUUGGGCUGGAAUGUCUGCCUGUUGUGCCACAUCUAGAUCGUUUAGGGUGAGGGUGAGAGUUGAGCCCUCCCUUUUCCCCAACACACACACGUACACACACACACACACGUGAAGACACAAACAUCCACCUACUCCCACCUCCCCCCACCGCCUCCCCCGGGUUGAGUCGGGCUAAGAGAGAAGACAGGACAUUUUUAUCUGUAUUUAAUCACCACAUUCUCUCCCACAAUUACUCUGUGGGAUUCUUCUCAUGUAUGUGGACCAACUGCUCCACGUUGAAAGAGUUUGAGGCAGCAAUACCUCUGACGGCUUUCGUAAGUUAUUUGUUUGCGUCUCAGACUCCUCUCCUAAAUCCUGCUAGGGCACACGUCCCCCCACCUCCACCCAGGUUAUGAAUGUCAUUGCUGAGCUCUGCGUAACGAGGUUUGAGUUCAGUUUGUCUGGCAACACUUCUGGAUGUAAUCUGUUCCGUGCAAUGAGUCACCAAGGUCAGCAUCUCCCCGCGAGGGAGGUUUCUGUGUGGGUCUGGCUUGUUCUCCUGACCAGCCUCUAUCUCUGAGUGCUGUGAGCUUGGAAUUACUGUGACACCUGCCCCUUGGCCUUCCAGCUACUUGGACAUACUAUGGCCUGUCUAUCAGGACUCGUUUUGAAAAGCGAGUGGGAUAUUAUAGUAAAACGUCUGAUACAGCUUUUCUCACCCGCAGCUGUGACCCACUGGUGACAUAAAUUUGAUGGGUUGUGACCAGCGUUAAAAAAAUAAGUAAGUAAAAAAUAGAACAUAUAGUGGUUUUUCUUUGUGCUGAUGAAAAUGCUAGACGUUCCAAGAUUAGUUUGUGGGGGGACUGCCCAGCUCGGGAAAUAUACUAAGACCUCUUGAGGUGUAUACUUGAAAUGGGUGAAUAUAUAUAUGUUAUAUAUAUAUAUAUAUAUAUAACAUAUAUAUAUAGCAAUAAAACGAUUUAUAAAAAAAAUUAGGAACCCUGA
This 3006-nucleotide long non-coding RNA is filed under the name Felis catus (domestic cat). RNAcentral describes it as "lncRNA (ENSFCAG00000045020.2)". Lineage: Eukaryota; Metazoa; Chordata; Mammalia; Carnivora; Felidae. The record is from RNAcentral.